UUGACCUCAAAUCAGGUAGGACUACCCGCUGAACUUAAGCAUAUCAAUAAGCGGAGGAAAAGAAACUAACAAGGAUUCCCCUAGUAACUGCGAGUGAAGCGGGAAAAGCUCAAAUUUAAAAUCUGGCGGUCUUUGGCCGUCCGAGUUGUAAUUUAGAGAAGUGUUAUCCGCGCUGGACCGUGUACAAGUCUCCUGGAACGGAGCGUCAUAGAGGGUGAGAAUCCCGUCUUUGACACGGACCACCAGUGCUUUGUGAUGCGCUCUCGAAGAGUCGAGUUGUUUGGGAAUGCAGCUCAAAAUGGGUGGUAAAUUCCAUCUAAAGCUAAAUAUUGGCGAGAGACCGAUAGCGAACAAGUACCGUGAGGGAAAGAUGAAAAGAACUUUGGAAAGAGAGUUAAACAGUACGUGAAAUUGUUGAAAGGGAAACGCUUGAAGUCAGUCGCGUUGUCCGGGGAUCAACCUUGCAUUCGUGCUUGGCGUACUUCCCGGUCGACGGGUCAGCAUCAAUUUUGACCGCUGGAUAAAGGUCAGGGGAAUGUGGCAUCCUCGGAUGUGUUAUAACCUCUGGUCGCAUACAGCGGUUGGGAUUGAGGAACUCAGCA
Molecule: ribosomal RNA, 602 nt
Filed under: Xeromphalina campanella
Lineage: Eukaryota; Fungi; Basidiomycota; Agaricomycetes; Agaricales; Mycenaceae
Description: eukaryotic LSU rRNA
Rfam family: Eukaryotic large subunit ribosomal RNA
Source: RNAcentral